Molecule: ribosomal RNA, 422 nt
Filed under: uncultured archaeon
Lineage: Archaea
Description: partial 16S ribosomal RNA
Rfam family: Archaeal small subunit ribosomal RNA
Source: RNAcentral
CUACGGGUGGCUCCAGUCACGGAACCUUUACAAUGCGCGAAAGCGUGAUAGGGGGAUUCCAAGUGCCUUGCCAAAGGUAAGGCUUUUGUCAAAUGUAAGGAGUUUGGCGAAUAAGAGGUGGGUAAGACCGGUGCCAGCCGCCGCGGUAAUACCGGCGCCUCGAGUGGUAAUCAUGUUUAUUGGGCCUAAAGCGUUCGUAGCCGGUUUAGUAAAUUUCUUGUGAAAUUGUUCAGCUUAACUGAACAGCGUGCAGGAAACACUGCUAAACUUGAGACCGGGAGGAGACAGAGGUAUGCUGGGGGGAACGGUAAAAUGUUAUAAUCCUCAGUAGACCGCCAGUGGCGAAGGCUUCUGUCUAGAACGGCUCUGACGGUGAGGGACGAAAGCCAGGGGAGCAAAACGGAUUAGAUACCCCCGUAGUC